AAGGAUCAUUAACGAGUUUGAAAUCGACGGCUUGAUGCUGGCGUGUAUAACGCGCAUGUGCUCAGCCCGUCGUACUCAAUCCUCUUUACCCCUGUGCACACCUAAUGGGAGUUUAGUAGUCGGUGUGUGUUGUUGUAUUAGUUCGGUUUAUUGAUCGAAUAUAAUGCGCACCGUCGACGAAACGCUUCAAUUUUUAUUAUCAACGAUUACUUGUAAUGUGGAAUGUAAUGCUCCUUUGUGAGCGAUAUAAAGUUACAACUUUCAACAACGGAUCUCUUGGCUCUCGCAUCGAUGAAGAACGCAGCGAAAUGCGAUAAGUAAUGUGAAUUGCAGAAUUCAGUGAAUCAUCGAAUCUUUGAACGCACCUUGCGCCCCUUGGUAUUCCGAGGGGCAUGCCUGUUUGAGUGUCAUGUUAAUCUCAACCCCCUUGUUAUUAUAUUUUACUAACUUGGGACGUUGGACUUGGAGGUAUUAUAUAUGCUGGCUCCGCUUUGGUUGUGGUCGGCUCCUCUUAAAUGUAUUAGCUGGGCUUUGGCUCGCGUUAACGGUGUAAUAGUAACAUUUACAUUCAUCGGACGCUUGCCUAACAGGUCUGCUUCUAACUGUCCGAUAACAAAGGACAAGGUCACAUUAACAAUGACCUUCAUGACUUACUUGACCUCAAAUCAGGUAGGAUUACCCGCUGAACUUAA
This 692-nucleotide ribosomal RNA is filed under the name Basidiomycota sp. P19. Its description in RNAcentral is "eukaryotic LSU rRNA". The stretch from base 257 to 410 matches the Rfam family "5.8S ribosomal RNA". Lineage: Eukaryota; Fungi; Basidiomycota. RNAcentral also lists the same sequence under 2 other names. The record is from RNAcentral.